This 381-nucleotide ribosomal RNA is filed under the name Triticum aestivum (bread wheat). Its description in RNAcentral is "partial small subunit ribosomal RNA". Lineage: Eukaryota; Viridiplantae; Streptophyta; Magnoliopsida; Poales; Poaceae. The record is from RNAcentral.
AUGGCAGCCUCUCAUUAUGCAUACAAUAUACUGAAGAUGCCAGGCCCGAUAAGUGUCAUCUCUGUCUCUGGUGACAAGAAGGAUGCUCUUAUCUGCGCCGACAAGAUCUACCGGGAAGCAGCAGCUGCAACAGAUCGCAGAUCACUUGCCGUUGGAGCUCCUUGGGGAAAGAAGAAGACCAAGUUCGGCAAGAGUUCUGAUUCCCACUCCGGCAAGCGCACCUCUUCGAAGUGCUGCGCUACCGUCGAGGACGCACCAUCGAGCUCCUCCGGCAAGUGUAAGAAAACAAUGGUGGCUCCACCAGAGACCAAGAAGGUGUCCGCCAAGGAGGACGGCACUGGUGGUACUUUCACCAUCAGUGCCACUGUCGACCCUAAAUAG